Thunnus maccoyii (southern bluefin tuna) is the source of this 1023-nucleotide long non-coding RNA. RefSeq lists it as uncharacterized. The transcript has 2 exons. Lineage: Eukaryota; Metazoa; Chordata; Actinopteri; Scombriformes; Scombridae. The record is from RefSeq and is a predicted model, not a curated record.
UAUGAACAGCAAACAGCGGCGGGAAAUGACUGCUUUGCCAAAAGGAGUGACUCCUUAUCAGACCAGAGUGCAGUUAUUUUAAGAAUUACUCCUCAAAUGUCUCUCUGGAGAAAGAUUUUCAACACUGAUGCACCGACCGUGUAAACUUCUCACCACCAACAUAUUUGCUUUGGUUUGUCAUUUUAUGAGUCAUAACAGGCUCAGCUACAGUUUCAGUGACACUCAUGACCCAUGAAUCCUGUUCCAGCUGAUGGUUUAGAUGAGUGAAGUAUCUGUCUUGAAGCCGACACGGCAGUACAGGUAGAAAACAAGGCUGUACUGUCCCCGUCAGAGCUGACAGGUGCACUGUGUACAUUGGACUGCGGCCUGAGAAGUGCUGCCAACUGCAACUAGGGCACACAUUUGGCAGGAAGACAGCAGGACUACAGCCACCCUCAGACCGGCAUGGAAAAAACAUAAUGAGCAUAAAUAAGCAGAGGAACGCUGCAUGUACGCAGACACACAGGACAAACAUGGCUCCGCUGUUAUUUCCUUACACAAGCAGACAAGUGGCUGCUUUCCGACAGCGUCCCUUUUCCUAAGUAAACAACACCAGGUCGGACACACCCUGCAGUAUAUUUACCGUCAGCAAUUAGGUGAGCCUAAAAAUGAAAGUUUCAAGCUGCACUCAGGACACAUUUCAUUAUAGAGGACACCGAUGUCCUUGGUGAUAUUUACGACAAUUUGGGUGAAUUAUAAAGAGUUUAUCUGGUACUGUUACACUCCUACUGCACACAUAAACACAUUCUGACUGGUUUUAGACAAACAAAUGUUGUAUUCUCCACCAGAGUUAUGAGACCAUAAUGUAGGAAGAUAACAUUUACAGAAAACAUGAUUGAAAAGUUGAAUGAAUAAGUUUGGUUGAUGGUUCUGUUGGAGGAUUUAUAAUCUCAGUGUCUUCUGUAUUUCUAAAAUGCUAGUUUGUAAUAACUUUGAAUUUGACUGAACCUCUUCUGUAUUCAAGAUUAAAACAUGUUUAUCAUU